This 5778-nucleotide long non-coding RNA is filed under the name Salvia miltiorrhiza (redroot sage). Its description in RNAcentral is "long non-coding RNA (SMIL_LNC011414)". Lineage: Eukaryota; Viridiplantae; Streptophyta; Magnoliopsida; Lamiales; Lamiaceae. The record is from RNAcentral.
GAGUAGAAACGGGCGUGAAAUUGUGAGCCAAAGAAGGCCGCAAUCUCAAACUGUGCGACAUUUCGUCGAACAGUUUGCAAUCCCUCUUUCUGGGUUUCAACUCUUUGUCUCUCUCCACCGAAAUUAAUACUACAUUUUCUGGCUCUGAGAUUGAGCGCUUACGUGAAAUUGUUGCUAACGUAAACUCAAGUCGUGCAACCUUUUGUUGACUGAUUCUGAUAUCGCGGUCGAAUACCCGAACCAGAAAUCAACCGAUACCGAACCGUAUUGAUUAUGUCAUAAUCGCUUCGAUUAUUACGGUUCGGGUAUCCCAAAUAACUCAAAAAAUAAAUAAAUAAAUUAUUCCAUUUUUUCAACUUAAAUCCUAAAAAAAUUAAAACAAUUAAUCACAACAAUAAUCCGCUUUCUUCCCUGUGGGUGACUGGCGACAGAUGGAGGAGGCUGCUGGGGACGGCUUGAGUCUUGAGGAGCUGCUGCUGUGGCGGUGACGGCUGGAGGGCGGCGACCGGCGUUCGGAGCUGGGGGUGUACCAAGCGGCUGAGCAGCUUGGGGCAGCGUCUGUCACUGUGUGUUGUGCCAAUGUGCGUGACUUUUUUUUUUAGGGUGGGAUUUUAGGUUUAAUUAAUUUAGAAAUUAGAAUUAAAAAUAAUUAUAAAAUAUAUACAUAUAUAUUUAUUUAAUACUAUAUAUAUAUAUUUAUUUAUUUAAAUUCGUUUCAUCCAAUUCGAUUAUGAGGUUAAUUGUGAUAUCCGAAAAUUUUACUGAAUAAUUAAUUGGACAUGGAAAAAUAUUUUUAAUUUUUAUAUUUAUAAAUAUAAUAAAAAAUUAAUUUUAAUUGAAUAAUUUGAAUUGAAUAUUGAAAAAAUAAAAAAGAAUUCACAAUUGUAAAAUUUGAUAUUAUGUAAAACAAAAACAAAAAAAUAAGUUAUAAAAAUUAAAAUAAAAUACUAGUAAUUAAAAAGAAUUAAAAAUAUAUUUAUUCAAAAAAGAUGAGAGAGGAGAGAGAAAUUUAUAAAACCUUAAUAUUUAAAUAAAUUUAAUUUUUACAUUUUAAAUCAAAUAUUUUCAUAAAAUAUAGUAUCAUAUUAAAGCUCUUAUCGUGAUCUUUAAUUUGAUAUGCCUAUUAAAUAUUUUAUAAUUAAUCGAAUUUCACAAUUUUGGAAAGAAAUGUAACAACAAAUAAGAAGUUAAAGAAAUGAAAAUAAAAAGAAAAUAUAUAGUUUAAACAUAAACCUUCAAUUUUAUUAUAACUAUAAAAUUGCCACUCAAUUUUGAAAUUGAUUUCAAAUUGGAAACUCGGUUUUUAAUANGAAUAAUAAUGUAUUUUCGGCCACAUUUCAAUUGGUGCACUCUUUAAUAAUGUGAAAAUAACACAUAUAUUAUCAUCUAAUAUAAUACUCUCUUCAUUUCACUAAUAUGACUCCCUACUAUCGAGUACGGUAAUUAAGAAGAAGAGAUGAUUAAAGAUUAAAGUGAUAGAUCGUUGUUCGUGAGAGAGUAUUAAUUACCUUUUUUUGUAAAGGAACUUAUUAAUGGGAACAGACAAAAAAAAUAGAAGUUAUUAUUAAUGAAACGGAAGGAGUAUAUUCUAAGAUAAUAGAUAAAAAUAGAUUUCAUAUAAUUAAAUAUCAUAAUCAUGAUGGUGUAAGGCAAAUGGUAUGAUUGAUUUCCAAAAUUACAGACUAGUUCUCCAUUCACUCAAUACACGUAUACCCCUCACAUAGCUGUUUUAAAGUAAGAAAUAAUCCCCAUUGGGAAAGAUUAAGGAACAACCAAGAAGAAAAGUGAUCAAAAUAAGAUGAUGUUAAUAUAUAGCCCAGUUCAAAAGUAAAAAAAACUAAUGCAAAACAACAAAUAAAAACGACGAAAAGAAGGCUGUUGGUGAUUUGUGCCAACAUUGACUGUUGAUUUCAAACAAUCUGUGUAAGCAAUGAAAACUCCCAAGCUCAAUUUUUCACUACUUGAAGCUGGCUGGGAUGGUGUCUGCCGCGAAGUACUCUUCUUUAACCUCCUUCGCCGAGCAAAAUCUCACCUAUGAAAGUUCAGAUAUAUGUGAGAAGCAACAGGAUUUAUGCAAGAGUACAAGGAGUUACGCAGAAGCAUGGUUCAAAGAGAGAGACAUAGUCUUAGCAAACUUGACAUGUACGCGUGAAAGAUCAUGCUUCAAUAUAAGAUGCUACGACACAAAUAUUCAGAAAAAAAAAUGAACAUGGAAUAUCAAAAAGGGCAUAUGGUUUCAGCGUUCAGCACAGAAGAGAUCAAACUAUAAUCAUAAUUUAUGAACAAUAAAUAUGAAGGUGGAUACUCACAAGAGAGGCAUAUGAUUUGAGCAAGGGCUUAACUAGCUGCCAAAAUGGCUUGAAUAUGAAAGGAGCAUCUACGAAGAGGACUUGACCCAGUCGCCUUGGAUAGUAGCAGUAGAAUGCAUCAAGCUGCAAUUAGAAGAUAACGUAAAAUGACUCGCAUAGGCAAAAUAUAAUGUUUUUACUAAAUAAUGAGUCAAUAGAUGCUAUAGAAGAUAUAAGAAAUGAGAGAAAUAAAAAUUGAGCAGUGGGCUCAUAUAACAGCCUUGGUUUACCACAAAUGUAAAGAAUUUAACGUCAGCAUUUUGUGUCUGGAACCCACGGAGAUUGAUUACAACAAGCAUUUCCUGCUUUCCCUCGGGGAGUAUGCUUAGUGCUUUUUCGAUCAAGAAAACACACAGCCUCUCGUCUUCCUGAGGUUUGAACUCCUGUGUCGAUAUAUAAGAUGAAUAUCACCCAAAAGCUAGCUAGAUUUUUUAUUUUGAAGCAACGAUUAGCUACAACAUGGAUAAAGCCUGAAUCUUUUGAAAAAUAGCUGCAGGAAAUCGAGGGCAGGAUGACUCUUGAAUUGGUUUUUCUACUUUCCAAAUCCACAAUUUAAUAUCAGAGAUAGUGUCAUACCCCUGGAAAAUGCUUGGAUCCUUCCACUAUCAACACUGGUCUGCCGUGUACAUCGAGAUAGUUGUGGAGAUAAGCUUUUCCAGUUUCUGCGACACGUUUAACUGAUUCUUCCGACAAUUCGGAUACACGAAAAUCCUUACGCCAACUCUGUUUUGGGGAAAGGACAAUAAAUUAAUUUUAUUCUCUAGUUUUUAUUUUGAAUAUAAACACUGAUUCAGCAAAGGACUUUAGCUACAGCUUGAAGCCUUUCCUAAACUUUUUCAUCAUAAUAAAAUAUUUUAAUAAUAGCCAAAAACUUUAAGCACAACUAUUUCAAGGAGAGAAAGAAAGAAGAAAAACUAAGUAAUGGAAAUAUAAAAACUUUUCCCAGCCAGACCAAUUAAAGACUAUAAUUAUACUUACAAUUGCUUUAGUCAAUUUGGAAACGGUCUCUUCAACAGAAAACUUUCGAUCUUUCAGGAACCAAAGAAUCAUUUCUUCAUCAUCUCUUCCAUAUUUGCCCACUGGCAGAUUGCUGUGUUGAUUCUCAAGCUUUGUUUUGACUUCUGCCACAAGCUGCAACAUUAAAGACCUAAUCAACCACAUGAUUUCUUCAAAUUGUGCAAGACAUGAAAUGAAUAAUAAUUCCCUGCAGAACAUUCCCGUAGAGCAACUUUUGCAAAUCAUUCUAAACCACUAUCUGAAGCAUCUACAUAGAUUUUUUGGGAUGAGAAACUCCAUGUUCUAAAAGACCUAGUAUCCUUUGCCAUUCUACUGUGACGAUGAUUGCCUUAGAGGGUAUUUGGCUGAGCUUAUAAGCUCCUUAAGACAACUGCAACCUAAUGAUUGGAGGAGAAACGUCUCAAGUUGAGCUUCGUUGUCUCUCUCUAGCUUAUAAGAUCAAUUAUCCAAACACUUUGACAACUUAUAAGUUCUUGACAUAUUAAAUCUUAUAAGCUCUCUAAAAAUAAGUUUAGCCAAAUAUCCUCUUAAUCAUACUAUCAGUUCAGGUAGCUAAGACUAAAUGAGCAUGUAGACAAUAUAUCCAAUGAAGAUAAGACUAGAACGUAGAAUCAUUACACAUUAAUACUUAAAUUAAGCAUUUACAAAGUACCAAGAGGCAAGUGCAACAAACUCUUCUCAAAAAUAUGCUAUUGAUAGAAAUAAUUAGGGCUGUCGAUCGGUUCGGGUUCGGUUACCCGUACCCGAAUUUUUGGUUACCCGAACCCGAAAUUGCCAAAUUUCAAUAACCGUUCCCGAACCGUUUUAGAAGUUCGGUUACCCAAUACCCGCUUCGGUUAACCAAUUGGGUUAUUUGGGUAUCCGAAAUACCCAUUUAAAAAAUAAAAUUCAAAUAAUUUUUGCUCUAUCUACUCUAAAAGAAAUUACAAAUAUAUAAUAUAUAUAUUAAAUAAUUUACAAAUAUAUAAUAUAUAUGUAAAUUUACAAAUAAUAUAUUUACAAAUAUAUAAUAUAUUUGUAAAUAUAUUAUAAUAUAUAUGUAAAUUUACAAAUAUAAUAUAUUUGUAAAUAUAUAAUAUAUAUUAUAUAUAUAAUAUAUUUGUAAAUUUAUAAAUUUACCAAUAUAUAUUAUAAAUUUACAAAUUUAUAAUAUAUUUGUAAAUAUAUAGUAUUUGUAAAUAUAUAAUAUAUAUGUAAAUUUACAAAUAUAUUAUAAUAUAUAUAUAUAAUAAUUUACAAAUAUAUAAUAUAUUAUAUAUGAUAUAUUGAUAAUAUAUAUAUUAAAUAAUUAAUAAAAUAAUUUUCGGUUAUUCGGUUAACCCGAUCGUUUUUUCGGGUUAACCGAUAACCGAAAUUUCCAAAAAAACAAUAACCGAAACCGAUCCAUUACCCGAAAUUUUCGGUUAUUGGAUACCCAAACCCGGGAAUUUCGGUUCGGUUAAUUGGAUACCCAAAACCCGAUAACCAUUUAGACAGCCCUAGAAAUAAUAAAGGUUCAUAUUUUCCUUGAAAUCCGCAACUAACCAUUGCACAAAGCAUGAAAAAGAAGCCAAUUAAGGCUGUUACAAUUCAAAUCCAACAAAACAACCAAUUCAACCAUCAUCAAACACAAGAAAGGCGCGAAAGAGGUAUCUAAAUUUGCAAAAGAUAAGCUCAAAAGUCCCCAUGGCCUCCAGUUAGUAAACUAAAACAAUCAUUAUCCAAAUAGCCGUCAUUGAACAUUUCAUCCAAUCAAAUAGGAAGAGAAUAUUUAUAUAAUUGUAAUUUAAUCAAGUAAGAGGCAACAAAAUUGAGUACUUUACUGGCAUUUUCAGGGGCCGCGGAGCAACUGCGGAUGCUGAGCUUGAAAGCCUUCGUGGAGGGUUUGUGGUGACGAGUAGAAACGGGCGUGAAAUUGUGAGCCAAAGAAGGCCGCAAUCUCAAACUGUGCGACAUUUCGUCGAACAGUUUGCAAUCCCUCUUUCUGGGUUUCAACUCUUUGUCUCUCUCCACCGAAAUUAAUAGUACUACAUUUUCUGGCUCUGAGAUUGAGCGCUUACGUGAAAUUGUUGCUAACGUAAACUCAAGUCGUGCAACCUUUUGUUGACUGAUUCUGAUAUCGCGGUCGAAUACCCGAACCAGAAAUCAACCGAUACCGAACCGUAUUGAUUAUGUCAUAAUCGCUUCGAUUAUUACGGUUCGGGUAUCCCAAAUAACUCAAAAAAUAAAUAAAUAAAUUAUUCCAUUUUUUCAACUUAAAUCCUAAAAAAAUUAAAACAAUUAAUCACAACAAUAAUCCGCUUUCUUCCCUGUGGGUGACUGGCGACAGAUGGAGGAGGCUGCUGGGGACGGCUUGAGUCUUGAGGAGCUGCUGCUGCGGCGGUGACGGCUGGAGGGCGGCGACCGGCGUCCGGAGCGUGGGGGUGUACCAAGC